RNAcentral lists this ribosomal RNA (479 nucleotides) under uncultured bacterium. RNAcentral's name for it is "SSU rRNA". It matches the Rfam family "Bacterial small subunit ribosomal RNA", at positions 26 to 522 of the family's 1533-position model. The record is from RNAcentral.
AGGACGAACGCUGGCGGCGUGCUUAACACAUGCAAGUCGAACGGAAAGGUCUCUUCGGAGACACUCGAGUGGCGAACGGGUGAGUAACACGUGGGUAAGUCUGCCCUGCACAUCGGGAUAAGCCUGGGAAACUGGGUCUAAUACCGAAUAGGACCACGGGACGCAUGUCCUGUGGUGGAAAGCUUUUGCGGUGUGGGAUGGGCCCGCGGCCUAUCAGCUUGUUGGUGGGGUGACGGCCUACCAAGGCUACGACGGGUAGCCGGCCUGAGAGGGUGUCCGGCCACACUGGGACUGAGAUACGGCCCAGACUCCUACGGGAGGCAGCAGUGGGGAAUAUUGCACAAUGGGCGCAAGCCUGACGCAGCGACGCCGCGUGGGGGAUGAAGGCCUUCGGGUUGUAACCCCUUUCAGCAGGGACGAAGCGAAGUGACGGUACCUGCAGAAGAGCACCGGCCAACUACGUGCCAGCAGCCGCGGUA